AUACGGAAGGUCCGGGCGUUAUCCGGAUUUAUUGGGUUUAAAGGGAGCGCAGGCGGAGAUGCAAGCGUGACGUCAAAUUUCGGGGCUCAACCCCGUCUCGCGUCGCGAACUGCGUCCCUUGGUUGCGGGAAGGGGAGGCGGAACUCGUGGUGUAGCGGUGAAAUGCAUAGAUAUCACGAAGAACUCCGAUCGCGAAGGCAGCCUUCCGGCCCGUCAACGACGCUCAUGCGCGAAGGUGCGGGUAUCAAACAGGAUUAGAUCCCCUGGUAGUCCGCACAGUAAACGAUGGACACCCGCGGUUUGGCCUGUAUGGCUGAGCCGCCAAGCGAAAGCGUUAAGUGUCCCACCUGGGGAGUACGCCGGCAACGGUGAAACUCAAAUGAAUUGACGGGG
RNAcentral lists this ribosomal RNA (393 nucleotides) under uncultured bacterium. RNAcentral describes it as "partial 16S ribosomal RNA". It matches the Rfam family "Bacterial small subunit ribosomal RNA", at positions 523 to 918 of the family's 1533-position model. The record is from RNAcentral.